GGAUCUGUUUGAAAAGUAUGUAGACACACCAAACGAAGAUUCAAUUCCAUCUACUUCUGAUGAUGUUAGAACUGUCAAUGCCGAUGUCAGAAUUUACUAUUCUCAAAUUCUCGGAG
RNAcentral lists this small RNA (116 nucleotides) under Caenorhabditis elegans. Its description in RNAcentral is "Unclassified non-coding RNA T16G12.14". Lineage: Eukaryota; Metazoa; Nematoda; Chromadorea; Rhabditida; Rhabditidae. The record is from RNAcentral.